RNAcentral lists this ribosomal RNA (497 nucleotides) under uncultured bacterium. Its description in RNAcentral is "partial 16S ribosomal RNA". It matches the Rfam family "Bacterial small subunit ribosomal RNA", at positions 28 to 507 of the family's 1533-position model. The record is from RNAcentral.
GAUGAACGCUGGCGGCGUGCCUAAUACAUGACAGUCGAGCGAACAGACGAGGCGCUUGCCCCUCUGACGUUAGCGGCGGACGGGUGAGUAACAUGUGGAUAACCUACCUCUCAGACUGGGAUUACCUCGGUAAACCUGAGCUAAUACCGGAUAAUACAUGGAACUGCACGGCUCCAUAGUGCAAGACGGUUUUGCUGUUUCUUAUCGAUGGCUCCGCACCGCAUUAGCUAGUUGGUAAGGUAACGGCUUACCAAGGCAACGAUGCGUAGCCGACCUGAGAGCAUGAUCGGCCACACUGGAACUAAGACACGGUCCAGGCUCCUACGGGAGGCAGCAGUAGGGAAGCUUCUGCGAUGUUCGCAAGCCUGACGGAGCAACGCCGCUCGAGUGAUGUAGGUCUACGAAUCGUAAGACACUGUUACUAGAGAAGAACAGGUAUGUAGGAAACGAUGCUCGUCUUGACGGUAUCGAAUCAGAAAUCGACGGCUAGCUACAUG